This 253-nucleotide ribosomal RNA is filed under the name uncultured bacterium. Its description in RNAcentral is "partial 16S ribosomal RNA". It matches the Rfam family "Bacterial small subunit ribosomal RNA", at positions 524 to 776 of the family's 1533-position model. The record is from RNAcentral.
UACGGAGGGUGCAAGCGUUAUCCGGAUUCACUGGGUUUAAAGGGUGCGUAGGUGGGUCUGUAAGUCAGUGGUGAAAUCUCCGGGCUUAACCCGGAAACUGCCAUUGAUACUAUAGGUCUUGAAUUAUCUGGAGGUCAGCGGAAUAUGUCAUGUAGCGGUGAAAUGCUUAGAUAUGACAUAGAACACCGAUAGCGAAGGCAGCUUGCUACACAGUCAUUGACACUGAGGCACGAAAGCGUGGGGAGCAAACAGG